This is a long non-coding RNA of Anas platyrhynchos (mallard), 1269 nucleotides long. RefSeq lists it as uncharacterized. The record is from RefSeq and is a predicted model, not a curated record. Lineage: Eukaryota; Metazoa; Chordata; Aves; Anseriformes; Anatidae.
UAAUGUUAGUAUUAGCAUGGGGUUAUUAUUCUGAGGUUACACAACUGAAGACCCAGAAGGAAAUCAUGACAUUCCAUUGCAGCUUUUGGAAAAAGUUUUCACAGGUAAUUUGGAAAUUUGCAGGCUGCUUUUUCCAGAUGAUACCUCUGCAUAAAUCACCUCACUUGCCAUUUUGAAGAAACGUCUUCAGAUCUGCAAUCAAAAUGGACUCAUUGAAGGAGACAGUCUUCCACUGCAGAGAGGUGGUUUCUGGCAAGAAAGAUUCAAUUGAAGAUAACACUUGUUGCCUGACUUCACAGACAAGAUGUUCCAAGGCAGAUUCUUUACAUGAGAAGAACAGCAGGAGGAAGAGAUUUGGAUUGGUACUUAGGCACUAAAAUGUGCUCUUAGUGUCAACGUUGUAAACCUAGAUUGGCUUUACUAGCAUUCUUCUGGAUUUAUUUAUUGACGAGUCUAAGGCCUGUGAAGAUAUCUGGGAAAGGAGAAAAAAGAUUCUGUACACACAGAAGCCACUGACGUUUGAUCCUUGUUUUCAAGACCAUGCAUUACUAGUUGCACAGAACUGGCAAAAUUAUUUUGUCAGUGGAUUUGUGAAGCAGAUGUAAAGAUGUAUAAGUCACUAACAGGACAUUUAAAGGAUUUGGAAGAGGUCUUUGUAUUUUAAUAACAUGAAAUAGACACUAGAUGUCUCACCUGCACCAUAAAAAGUAUCAAAUUAUACCUAAACUAAGAUUUUUAUAUGCUUAUAUGCUUCUUUCUUUUCUUUCUUUCUUUCUUUCUUUCUUUCUUUCUUUCUUUCUUUCUUUCUUUCUUUCUUUCUUUCUUUCUUUCUUUCUUUCUUUCUUUCUUUCUUUCUUUCUCUCUCUCUCUCUCUCUCUCUCUCUCUCUCUCUCUCUCUCUCUCUCUCUCUCUCUUUCUCUGCCUCUCUGCCUCUCCUUUCUCUCUUUCUUACUUUCUCUCUCUUUCUUUCUUAAACGGAAGGGCUAUAAUUAGUGCACGGGAGCAGAGCAGGGACUGGACUACCUAUGAAAGCCCUUUCACAGUCUCCUCAUUUCAUGUUUUUAAACAAUUUUUUUCACUAUUUCAUAUUCUGCACUGUGAAGAAUAUAUUCAUAUAAUUUAUAUCCAAAACAAGUGAAUGAUUUAUGUACAUAAAUAUCCAUGGGCAUAAACUAUUGUAUCACUUUAAGUCUUCUUUUGAGCAUAAGCUGAUGAACUGACUGGAACUGAACAGGCAAAAUAACAGCCACUGACAAUGAUUAAAACAUA